This 468-nucleotide ribosomal RNA is filed under the name uncultured bacterium. Its description in RNAcentral is "partial 16S ribosomal RNA". It matches the Rfam family "Bacterial small subunit ribosomal RNA", at positions 28 to 507 of the family's 1533-position model. The record is from RNAcentral.
GACGAACGCUGGCGGCGUGCUUAACACAUGCAAGUCGAACGGAAAGGCCCUGCUUUUGUGGGGUGCUCGAGUGGCGAACGGGUGAGUAACACGUGAGUAACCUGCCCUUGACUUUGGGAUAACUUCAGGAAACUGGGGCUAAUACCGGAUAGGAGCUCCUGCUGCAUGGUGGGGGUUGGAAAGUUUCGGCGGUUGGGGAUGGACGCGCGGCUUAUCAGCUUGUUGGUGGGGUAGUGGCUUACCAAGGCUUUGACGGGUAGCCGGCCUGAGAGGGUGACCGGCCACAAUGGGACUGAGAUACGGACCAGACUCCUACGGGAGGCAGCAGUGGGGAAUAUUGCACAGUGGGCGGAAGCCUGAUGCAGCAACGCCGCGUGCGGGAUGACGGCCUUCGGGUUGUAAACCGCUUUCGCCUGUGACGAAGCGUGAGUGACGGUAAUGGGUAAAGAAGCACCGGCUAACUACGUG